This 433-nucleotide ribosomal RNA is filed under the name uncultured bacterium. Its description in RNAcentral is "partial 16S ribosomal RNA". It matches the Rfam family "Bacterial small subunit ribosomal RNA", at positions 29 to 507 of the family's 1533-position model. The record is from RNAcentral.
AACGAACGCUGGCGGCAUGCCUAACACAUGCAAGUCGAACGAGACCUUCGGGUCUAGUGGCGCACGGGUGCGUAACGCGUGGGAACCUGCCCUUAGGUUCGGAAUAACUCCCCGAAAGGGGUGCUAAUACCGGAUAAUGUCUUCGGACCAAAGAUUUAUCUCCUUUGGAUGGGCCCGCGUUGGAUUAGCUAGUUGGUAGGGUAAAAGCCUACCAAGGCGACGAUCCAUAGCUGGUCUGAGAGGAUGAUCAGCCACACUGGGACUGAGACACGGCCCAGACUCCUACGGGAGGCAGCAGUGGGGAAUAUUGGACAAUGGGCGAAAGCCUGAUCCAGCAAUGCCGCGUGAGUGAUGAAGGCCUUAGGGUUGUAAAGCUCUUUUACCCGGGACGAUAAUGACAGUACCGGGAGAAUAAGCUCCGGCUAACUCCGUG